CGGCCGCGAAUUCACUAGUGAUUACUCCUACGGGAGGCAGCAGUGGGGAAUAUUGGACAAUGGGCGCAAGCCUGAUCCAGCCAUGCCGCGUGGGUGAAGAAGGCCUUCGGGUUGUAAAGCCCUUUUGUUGGGAAAGAAAAGCAGUCGGUUAAUACCCGAUUGUUCUGACGGUACCCAAAGAAUAAGCACCGGCUAACUUCGUGCCAGCAGCCGCGGUAAUACGAAGGGUGCAAGCGUUACUCGGAAUUACUGGGCGUAAAGCGUGCGUAGGUGGUUUGUUAAGUCUGAUGUGAAAGCCCUGGGCUCAACCUGGGAAUUGCAUUGGAUACUGGCAGGCUAGAGUGCGGUAGAGGGUAGUGGAAUUCCCGGUGUAGCAGUGAAAUGCGUAGAGAUCGGGAGGAACAUCCGUGGCGAAGGCGACUACCUGGACCAGCACUGACACUGAGGCACGAAAGCGUGGGGAGCAAACAGGAUUAGAUACCCUGGUAGUCCACGCCCUAAACGAUGCGAACUGGAUGUUGGGUUCAAUUAGGAACUCAGUAUCGAAGCUAACGCGUUAAGUUCGCCGCCUGGGGAGUACGGUCGCAAGACUGAAACUCAAAGGAAUUGACGGGGGCCCGCACAAGCGGUGGAGCAUGUGGA
This 642-nucleotide ribosomal RNA is filed under the name uncultured bacterium. Its description in RNAcentral is "bacterial SSU rRNA". It matches the Rfam family "Bacterial small subunit ribosomal RNA", at positions 305 to 945 of the family's 1533-position model. The record is from RNAcentral.